This 497-nucleotide ribosomal RNA is filed under the name uncultured bacterium. RNAcentral's name for it is "bacterial SSU rRNA". It matches the Rfam family "Bacterial small subunit ribosomal RNA", at positions 107 to 598 of the family's 1533-position model. The record is from RNAcentral.
UGAGUAAUGUAUCGGAACGUGCCCAGUAGCGGGGGAUAACUGGCCGAAAGGUCAGCUAAUACCGCAUACGCCCUACGGGGGAAAGGGGGGGAUUCUUCGGAACCUCUCACUAUUGGAGCGGCCGAUAUCGGAUUAGCUAGUUGGUGGGGUAAUGGCUCACCAAGGCAACGAUCCGUAGCUGGUUUGAGAGGACGACCAGCCACACUGGGACUGAGACACGGCCCAGACUCCUACGGGAGGCAGCAGUGGGGAAUUUUGGACAAUGGGGGGAACCCUGAUCCAGCCAUCCCGCGUGUGCGAUGAAGGCCUUCGGGUUGUAAAGCACUUUUGUCAGGGAAGAAAAGGUUCUGGCUAAUAUCCGGAACUGAUGACGGUACCUGAAGAAUAAGCACCGGCUAACUACGUGCCAGCAGCCGCGGUAAUACGUAGGGUGCAAGCGUUAAUCGGAAUUACUGGGCGUAAAGCGUGCGCAGGCGGUUCGGAAAGAAGGAUGUGAA